Molecule: transfer RNA, 75 nt
Filed under: Desulfitibacter sp. BRH_c19
Lineage: Bacteria; Bacillati; Bacillota; Clostridia; Neomoorellales; Desulfitibacteraceae
Also listed under: 1 other name
Description: tRNA-Glu
Rfam family: tRNA
About the family: Transfer RNA (tRNA) molecules are approximately 80 nucleotides in length. Their secondary structure includes four short double-helical elements and three loops (D, anti-codon, and T loops).
Source: RNAcentral
GGCCCGUUGGUCAAGCGGUUAAGACACCGCCCUUUCACGGCGGUAUCAGGGGUUCGAGUCCCCUACGGGUCACCA